RNAcentral lists this ribosomal RNA (454 nucleotides) under uncultured bacterium. Its description in RNAcentral is "bacterial SSU rRNA". It matches the Rfam family "Bacterial small subunit ribosomal RNA", at positions 340 to 786 of the family's 1533-position model. The record is from RNAcentral.
UACGGAAGGCAGCAGUGGGGAAUAUUGCACAAUGGGCGCAAGCCUGAUGCAGCCAUGCCGCGUGUAUGAAAAAGGCCUUCGGGUUGUAAAGUACUUUCAGUCGUGAGGAAGGUGUUAAGGUUAAUAACCUUAGCAAUUGACGUUAGCGACAGAAGAAGCACCGGCUAACUCCGUGCCAGCAGCCGCGGUAAUACGGAGGGUGCGAGCGUUAAUCGGAAUUACUGGGCGUAAAGGGCACGCAGACGGUUAAUUAAGUUGGAUGUGAAAUCCCCGGGCUUAACCUGGGAAUGGCAUUCAAGACUGGUUAGCUAGAGUCUUGUAGAGGGGGUAGAAUUCCAUGUGUAGCGGUGAAAUGCGUAGAGAUGUGGAGGAAUACCGGUGGCGAAGGCGGCCCCUGGACAAAGACUGACGCUCAUGUGCGAAAGCGUGGGGAGCAAACGAGGGAUUAGAUACC